UACAUGGGGUGCAACCGUUGCUCGGACUUAUUGGGCGUAAAGCGCGCGUAGGCGGUUACUCAAGUCGGCUGUGAAAGCCCUCGGCUUAACUGAGGAAGUGCACCCGAAACUGAGUAGCUAGAGUACUAAAGAGGGUCGCGGAAUUCCCGGUGUAGAGGUGAAAUUCGUAGAUAUCGGGAGGAACACCGGUGGCGAAGGCGGCGACCUGGGUAGAUACUGACGCUGAGGCGCGAAAGCGUGGGGAGCAAACAGG
RNAcentral lists this ribosomal RNA (253 nucleotides) under uncultured bacterium. RNAcentral describes it as "partial 16S ribosomal RNA". It matches the Rfam family "Bacterial small subunit ribosomal RNA", at positions 524 to 776 of the family's 1533-position model. The record is from RNAcentral.